AUAAUCGUUGGAAACGACGACUAAUACCGCAUACGGUUCUUGGAAGGCAUCUUCUAAGAAAGAAAGGAUUUAUUCGGUAAAAGAUGGGCCCGCAUCUGAUUAGCUAGUUGGUGAGAUGAUAGCCCACCAAGGCAACGAUCAGUAGCCGACCUGAGAGGGUGACCGGCCACAUUGGGACUGAGACACGGCCCAAACUCCUACGGGAGGCAGCAGUGGGGAAUAUUGCACAAUGGGCGAAAGCCUGAUGCAGCAACGCCGCGUGAAGGAAGACGGUUUUCGGAUUGUAAACUUCUAUCAAUAGGGAAGAAAGAAAUGACGGUACCUAAAUAAGAAGCCCCGGCUAACUACGUGCCAGCAGCCGCGGUAAUACGUAGGGGGCAAGCGUUAUCCGGAAUUACUGGGUGUAAAGGGAGAGUAGGCGGCAAGGUAAGCGAUAUGUGAAAGCCUUAAGCUUAACUAAAGGAUUGCAUAACGAACUAUCUAGCUAGAGUACAGGAGAGGAAAGCGGAAUUCCUAGUGUAGCGGUGAAAUGCGUAGAUAUUAGGAAGAACACCAGUGGCGAAGGCGGCUUUCUGGACUGAAACUGACGCUGAGGCUCGAAAGCGUGGGGAGCGAACAGGAUUAGAUACCCUGGUAGUCCACGCUGUAAACGAUGAGUGCUAGGUGUCGGGGAGGAAUUCCCGGUG
RNAcentral lists this ribosomal RNA (686 nucleotides) under uncultured bacterium. Its description in RNAcentral is "bacterial SSU rRNA". It matches the Rfam family "Bacterial small subunit ribosomal RNA", at positions 143 to 845 of the family's 1533-position model. The record is from RNAcentral.